AGAGUUUGAUCAUGGCUCAGAACAAACGCUGGCGGCGUGCCUAACACAUGCAAGUCGUACGAGAAAGUCCGCUUCGGUGGAUGAGUAAAGUGGCGCACGGGUGAGUAACGCGUGGAUAAUCUACCCUUUAGUCUGGAAUAACUUAUCGAAAGGUGAACUAAUACCGGAUAAUAUCCCGAUUUCUUCGGCGAUCGGGAUCAAAGAAGGCCUCUGCUUGCAAGCUUUCACUGAAGGAUGAGUCCGCGUACCAUUAGCUAGUUGGCAGGGUAAUGGCCUACCAAGGUUAUGAUGGUUAGCUGGUCUGAGAGGAUGAUCAGCCACACUGGAACUGAAACACGGUCCAGACUCCUACGGGAGGCAGCAGUGAGGAAUAUUGCGCAAUGGGGGCAACCCUGACGCAGCAACGCCGCGUGAGUGAGGAAGGUUUUCGGAUUGUAAAGCUCUGUCGAGCGGAAAGAAGUGCAUGGUGGUUAAUAUCCAUCAUGCUUGACGGUACCGCUAAAGGAAGCACCGGCUAACUCCGUGCCAGCAGCCGCGGUAAUACGGGGGGUGCAAGCGUUGUUCGGAAUCAUUGGGCGUAAAGCGCGUGUAGGCGGCUGGACAAGUCAGAUGUGAAAGCCCUGGGGCUUAACCCAGGAAGUGCAUUUGAAACUGUUCAGCUAGAGUAAGGGAGAGGAAAGUGGAAUUCCUGGUGUAGAGUGAAAUUCGUAGAUAUCAGGAGGAACACCGGUGGCGAAGCGACUUUCUGGCCCUAUACUGACGCUGAGACGCGAAAGCGUGGGUAGCAGACAGGAUUAGAUACCCUGAUAGUCCACGCUGUAAACGAUGUUCACUAGGUGUUGGGGUAUUGACCCUUCCAGUGCGCAGCUAACGCAUUAGUGAACGCCUGGGGGUACGAGUGCAAGAUAAAACUCAAAUGAAUUGACG
RNAcentral lists this ribosomal RNA (927 nucleotides) under methanogenic prokaryote enrichment culture B19_147. RNAcentral describes it as "bacterial SSU rRNA". It matches the Rfam family "Bacterial small subunit ribosomal RNA", at positions 8 to 915 of the family's 1533-position model. The record is from RNAcentral.